GAAAGAGUGAGACUUCCCCUUAAGGACCAAACUUCUGGAAUAAAAGGGAAUCGUGACAUGUCAUGUGUCUUUAAGGGGUUAAACUACUACAAAACACACCUGCUAAGGGAGGGGUGGGCCUCCCCAACAUACACCUAUACUUCAAAGCUGCUGCCCUGGCAUCAAGUAUAGCGGCUCACUCACCCCUAGGCCACACACAAUGGGUGGACAUGGAGAGGGACCAAUUUCAAGACAACUUCCUAACAGACUACCUAUGGACCCCAAAACACCUUCGAAACGCACACAAAACACUCCCAAGCACCAGGUUGACUAUAAUGAUGUGGGAUGCCUUCAUGGCCCAAAUUGGCUCCAAGCACAAACUACACCUCAAAGCCCCCUUGACGACACUAAAAACCAUAUCCCAAUCACUGUCCCUCCGAAACUGGAUACACAUAGGUAUAAACAGACUUGAGCACCUCCUGGAAGACCGACACAAAGUAAUAACAUUUACAGACCUGCAACGGUCCAGGACACCUUCAAAUACCUACAAGUACGAAGUUUACUGACUUCUCAUGCUCUCUCCCCACCAGACACCGAUAGCACGAAUAACCCUCCUUGUUCAUGCUCCGAUGUAGGGAAACACCGAACAAACCCAAGGCCCUCUCCAUUUGCUAUAGGGCAUGGCUAGAGAUUCAGCCGGAUAAACCACCACUGUGUAAAUCCCAGUGGGAAAAAGACUUGGGCUCAGACAUCUCUGAGGGAGACUGGCUGAGAACCUUGAACGGAAUAUCUAAAUGGACAAAAUGCUAUUCUCACAUAGAGGCCCAUAAAAAACUACUUUACCGCUGGUACCUUACCCCAACCAAGCUCCACAAAAUAUAUCCAACAGUGUCUCCCUUGUGCUGGAGGUGUGGGACGGAGGAGGGUUCGAUGAUAC
Molecule: non-coding RNA, 916 nt
Organism: Pelobates cultripes (western spadefoot toad)
Lineage: Eukaryota; Metazoa; Chordata; Amphibia; Anura; Pelobatidae
Source: the annotation of a GenBank genome assembly